AAGUCGUAACAAGGUUUCCGUAGGUGAACCUGCGGAAGGAUCAUUACCGAACUGUCGACACGAGCUGUUGCUGGCCCCCGAAAGGGGACACGUGCACGCUCUGUUUACACAUCCACUCACACCUGUGCACCCUCUGUAGCUCUAUGGCCUUGGGGACCCUGUCCCCUUGCUGUGGUCCUACGUCUUUACACACACACAUCGUAACAAAGUCUCAUGGAAUGUAUGUCGCGUUUAACGCAAUACAAUACAACUUUCAGCAACGGAUCUCUUGGCUCUCGCAUCGAUGAAGAACGCAGCGAAAUGCGAUAAGUAAUGUGAAUUGCAGAAUUCAGUGAAUCAUCGAAUCUUUGAACGCACCUUGCGCCCUUUGGCUAUUCUGAAGGGCAUGCCUGUUUGAGUAUCAUGAACACCUCAACUCUCAUGGUCCGCCAUGAUGAGCUUGGACUUUGGGGGUCUUGCCGGCCUAGCGUCGGCUCCUCUCAAAUGGAUCAGCUUCCCAGUGUUUGGUGGCGUCACAGGUGUGAUAACUAUCUACGCUUGUGGUUUCCUGCCAUUAACCUUCAGCAAUGGAGGUUCGCUGGAGCUCACAGAUGUCUCUCCUUGGGGAGGACAGCUUUUGAAUGUCUGAUCUCAAAUCAGGUAGGACUACCCGCUGAACUUAAGCAUAUCAAUAAGCGGA
Molecule: ribosomal RNA, 679 nt
Filed under: uncultured Tomentella
Lineage: Eukaryota; Fungi; Basidiomycota; Agaricomycetes; Thelephorales; Thelephoraceae
Description: eukaryotic LSU rRNA
Rfam family: 5.8S ribosomal RNA (bases 249-403)
Source: RNAcentral